Molecule: ribosomal RNA, 456 nt
Filed under: uncultured bacterium
Lineage: Bacteria
Description: bacterial SSU rRNA
Rfam family: Bacterial small subunit ribosomal RNA
Source: RNAcentral
GCACAAGCGGUGGAGCAUGUGGUUUAAUUCGACGCAACGCGAAGAACCUUACCUGGGCUCGAAAUGUAGUGGAUCGGGGUAGAAAUAUCCCUUCCUAGCAAUAGGUCGCUAUAUAGGUGCUGCAUGGCUGUCGUCAGCUCGUGUCGUGAGAUGUUGGGUUAAGUCCCGCAACGAGCGCAACCCUUAUCUCCAGUUGCCAUCAUUCAGUUGGGCACUCUGGCGAAACCGCCUCGGAUAACGGGGAGGAAGGUGGGGAUGACGUCAAGUCCUCAUGGCCUUUAUGUCCAGGGCUACACACGUGCUACAAUGGCCGGUAUAAACCGCUGCAAACCCGCGAGGGGGAGCUAAUCGGAAAAAGCCGGCCUCAGUUCGGAUUGCAGUCUGCAACUCGACUGCAUGAAGCUGGAAUCGCUAGUAAUCGCAGAUCAGAAUGCUGCGGUGAAUACGUUCCCGGGC